RNAcentral lists this ribosomal RNA (497 nucleotides) under uncultured bacterium. RNAcentral's name for it is "partial 16S ribosomal RNA". It matches the Rfam family "Bacterial small subunit ribosomal RNA", at positions 28 to 507 of the family's 1533-position model. The record is from RNAcentral.
GAUGAACGCUGGCGGCGUGCCUAAUACAUGCAAGUCGAGCGAACAGAUGAGGAGCUUGCUCCUCUGACGUUAGCGGCGGACGGGUGAGUAACACGUGGAUAACCUACCUAUAAGACUGGGAUAACUUCGGGAAACCGGAGCUAAUACCGGAUAAUAUAUUGAACCGCAUGGUUCAAUAGUGAAAGACGGUUUUGCUGUCACUUAUAGAUGGAUCCGCGCCGCAUUAGCUAGUUGGUAAGGUAACGGCUUACCAAGGCAACGAUGCGUAGCCGACCUGAGAGGGUUGUCGCACUGCCUGGAACUGACGCUCAGUCCCGACUCCUACGGGAGGCAGCAGAGGGGAAUCCUCCACCAUUGUCGAAAGCCUGACGGAGCAACGCCGCGUGAGUGAUUAAUGACUUCCGUCCGUAAUACCCUUUUAUGGGCGAUGAGCAAAUGUCUUAGUGCAUAAGCGCGUCUUGACGUUCCCUAUUCAGAAAGCCCCGGCUACCUACCUG